AUUGAACGCUGGCGGCAGGCCUAACACAUGCAAGUCGAACGGUAACAGGGAUCAGCUUGCUGAUUCGCUGACGAGUGGCGGACGGGUGAGUAAUGUCUGGGAAACUUCCUGAUGGAGGGGGAUAACUACUGGAAACGGUAGCUAAUACCGCAUAACGUCGCAAGACCAAAGAGGGGGACCUUCCGGCCUCUUGCCAUCGGAUGUGCCCAGAUGGGAUUAGCUAGUAGGUGGGGUAACGGCUCACCUAGGCGACGAUCCCUAGCUGGUCUGAGAGGAUGACCAGCCACACUGGAACUGAGACACGGUCCAGACUCCUACGGGAGGCAGCAGUGGGGAAUAUUGCACAAUGGGCGCAAGCCUGAUGCAGCCAUGCCGCGUGUAUGAAGAAGGCCUUCGGGUUGUAAAGUACUUUCAGCGGGGAGGAAGGGAGUAAAGUUAAUACCGUUGCUCAUUGACGUUACCCGCAGAAGAAGCACCGGCUAACUCCGUG
Molecule: ribosomal RNA, 490 nt
Filed under: uncultured bacterium
Lineage: Bacteria
Description: partial 16S ribosomal RNA
Rfam family: Bacterial small subunit ribosomal RNA
Source: RNAcentral